Molecule: ribosomal RNA, 468 nt
Filed under: uncultured bacterium
Lineage: Bacteria
Description: bacterial SSU rRNA
Rfam family: Bacterial small subunit ribosomal RNA
Source: RNAcentral
GGCGUCAGAACGAACGGACUGGCGGCAGGUCUUAGGCAUGCAAGUCGAACGGAUGACAAGGGAGCUUGCUCCUUGAAGUCAGUGGCGCACGAGUGAGUAACGCGUGGGAAACUGCCCUUCACUGGGAAUAACGUUUGGAAACGAACGCUAAUACCGCAUACGCCCGCAAGGGAAAGAUUUAUCGGUGAUGGAUGUGCCCGCGUUGGAUUAGCCAGUUGGUGGGGUAAUGGCCUACCAAAGCAAUGAUCCAUAGCUGGUCUGAGAGGACGAUCAGCCACGCUGGAACUGAGACACGGUCCAGACUCCUACGGGAGGCAGCAGCUAAGAAUAUUGGGCAAUGGAGGAAACUCUGACCCAGCCCAUGCCGCGUGAAUGAAGAAGGCCUUCGGGUUGUAAAGUUCUUUUAGUCAUGAAGAUGAUGACAGUAGUGACAGAAAAAGCACCGGCUAACUUCGUGCCAGCCGCCGC